UACGGGGGGGGCAAGCGUUGUUCGGAAUUACUGGGCGUAAAGGGUUCGUAGGUGGCCAACUAAGUCAGACGUGAAAUCCCUCAGCUUAACUGGGGAACUGCGUCUGAUACUGGAUGGCUCGAGUGCAGGAGAGGAACGCGGAAUUCCAGGUGUAGCGGUGAAAUGCGUUGAUAUCCUAAGGAACACCAGUGGCGAAAGCGACUCACUGGGUCUCUUCUGACGCUGAGGCACGAAAGCUAGGGUAGCGAACGGG
This 253-nucleotide ribosomal RNA is filed under the name uncultured bacterium. Its description in RNAcentral is "partial 16S ribosomal RNA". It matches the Rfam family "Bacterial small subunit ribosomal RNA", at positions 524 to 776 of the family's 1533-position model. The record is from RNAcentral.